AACAUUUAUUUAUUUAUUUUAUUUUUUAUUUAUUUAAUUUAUUAAAAAUAAUUAUAAAAUUAUAAAGUUUUAGUAUAUUAUAUAGAAAAAAUAAAUUUAAUAAUAGUUUAUUAGUUUUGUAAAAUUAUAUUGAAAUAAUAUGAAAAAUUUUUAUAACAAAAGAAAAUUUUAUUUAUUGUAUCUUGUGUAUCAGAGUUUAUUAAAUAAAAAAUAAUUAUAUUUAUUUUUCUCGAUUUUAAAAGAUUUAAUAAAUUAUAAAAGUUAAUGUAACAAAAUUAUUUUUAAUAAUUUAUUAGAAAUGAAAUUUUAUUCGUUUUUAAAGGUAUCUAGUUUUUUAAGAAAUAAAUUUAAUUUAGUUUUAAAAAUUUAUUUAUUUUAUUAAUUGUAAAUUAAAUAAUUUUUAAAUUUAAUAUUUUAUGGGAUAAGCUAUAAAAUAAAUUUUUAUAAAUAAUAAAUAAAAAUUAAAAUAUUAUAUGUUUAGAAGUAGCAAUUUUUAUUAAAUUUGUUAUAAAUUAAUUUUUAUAAUUAAAUUAUUUAUUAUAUUUUAAAUUUUUAUUAAAAUAUUUAUUUUAAUUUAAAAAAUAAAUUAAUAAUGAUAAAAUUAGUAUAUUUUUAUGUAAUAAUAAAUUUAAAAAUGAUAAGUUUAUGUAAAGAAUUCGGCAAAAAUAAUGUUCGCCUGUUUAACAAAAACAUGUCUUUUAGAAUUUAAUUUAAAGUCUAACCUGCCCAAUGAUUUUAUUUAAUGGCCGCAGUAUCUUAACUGUGCAAAGGUAGCAUAAUCAUUAGUCUUUUAAUUGAAGGCUGGAAUGAAUGGUUGGACGAAAUAUUAACUGUUUCAUUUAAAUUUAUAAUAAAAUUUUAUUUUUCAAUUAAAAAGUUGAAAUAUUGUUAAAAGACGAGAAGACCCUAUAAAUCUUUAUAUAUUUAUUAUUUUAAUUUUUUAGAUUAAUUUAUUUAUAAUAAAAUAAUAUAUUUUAUUGGGGUGAUAUUAAAAUUUAAAUAACUUUUAAAAUUUAUAACAUUAAUUUAUGAAUUAUUGAUCCAUUAAUAAUGAUUAAAAAAUUAAGUUACUUUAGGGAUAACAGCGUAAUUUUUUUGGAGAGUUCAUAUUGAUAAAAAAGAUUGCGACCUCGAUGUUGGAUUAAGAUAUAAAUUUAGGUGUAGCCGUUUAAAUUUUAAGUCUGUUCGACUUUUAAAAUCUUACAUGAUCUGAGUUCAAACCGGUGUAAGCCAGGUUGGUUUCUAUCUUUAAUAAAUUAAAAUAUUUUAGUACGAAAGGAUUAAAUAUUUAAAUAAUUUAUAUUUUUAUUAAAAGAAUAUAAUUAAUUUUUAAACUAUUUUGGCAGAUAAGUGUAAUAAAUUUAG
RNAcentral lists this ribosomal RNA (1365 nucleotides) under Allograpta sp. 1 DPP-2018. Its description in RNAcentral is "partial large subunit ribosomal RNA". Lineage: Eukaryota; Metazoa; Arthropoda; Insecta; Diptera; Syrphidae. The record is from RNAcentral.